GCUUAAUCCGAGGAGAUACAAUCACUGUGAUAGGGCACAAAGAUCGAUCUCUUCCACAGCUCCAGUGCUGCAGCCAGUACCAAUAUAUCAGCCUUCACAUCACAAUCAGAAUCCAAGGCUUAAUCAGAUUGUUAGGAGUGGUCCAACGAUGAACCUGCAGCAGCAACUCAGAGGACCAAACCAUGGAUCAACAUCGUCUACAAGUGAUGGAAACAAUUUCAGGGAACCUAUUGGUAUGGAGCGACAACGUUUUCUAGAUGCAGCACCUCGGAACACAUAUCAGCAGCUUUCAGUGGCUAACCAGAUUCGAGGGCCUGCAUUAGUACAUCGCAACUAUGAACCAUGGAGUCUUCAGAACACAUAUCCUCAGCAUCCUAGUUCAGCAGCUCCAGUGCAGCGGCUUAAUGCUCGACAAGAAGGAACGUUUUCUCAAGCUUAUGAUGACCAGCAUAGACCAUGGCUUAAUCCGAGGAGAUACAAUCACUGUGAUAGGGCACAAAGAUCGAUCUCUUCCACAGCUCCAGUGCUGCAGCCAGUACCAAUAUAUCAGCCUUCACAUCACAAUCAGAAUCCAAGGCUUAAUCAGAUUGUUAGGAGUGGUCCAACGAUGAACCUGCAGCAGCAACUCAGAGGACCAAACCAUGGAUCAACAUCGUCUACAAGUGAUGGAAACAAUUUCAGGGAACCUAUUGGUAUGGAGCGACAACGUUUUCUAGAUGCAGCACCUCGGAACACAUAUCAGCAGCUUUCAGUGGCUAACCAGAUUCGAGGGCCU
This 775-nucleotide long non-coding RNA is filed under the name Arabidopsis lyrata. RNAcentral's name for it is "long non-coding RNA (ALYR_LNC001480)". The record is from RNAcentral. Lineage: Eukaryota; Viridiplantae; Streptophyta; Magnoliopsida; Brassicales; Brassicaceae.